This 460-nucleotide ribosomal RNA is filed under the name uncultured bacterium. Its description in RNAcentral is "partial 16S ribosomal RNA". It matches the Rfam family "Bacterial small subunit ribosomal RNA", at positions 338 to 795 of the family's 1533-position model. The record is from RNAcentral.
CCUACGGGUGGCAGCAGUGAGGAAUAUUGGUCAAUGGGCGCAAGCCUGAACCAGCCAAGUCGCGUGAGGGAUGACGGUCCUAUGGAUUGUAAACCUCUUUUGUCGGGGAGCAAGGCCCGCCACGUGUGGCGGGAAGGAGAGUACCCGAAGAAAAAGCAUCGGCUAACUCCGUGCCAGCAGCCGCGGUAAUACGGAGGAUGCGAGCGUUAUCCGAAUUUAUUGGGUUUAAAGGGUGCGUAGGCGGAAGGUAAAGUAAGCGUUCAAAUUGCGGUUCUAAACAUCGACCUGCCGUUGAAACGGGUGUUCUAGAGUGAGCGAGAGGUAGGUGGAAUGCGUGGUGUAGGGGUGAAAUGCGUAGAUAUCACGCAGAACUCGGAUUGCGAAGGCAGCAUACCGGCGCUCAACUGACGCUGAGGCACGAAAGCGUGGGGAUCGAACAGGAUUAGAUACCCUUGUAGUC